UGAACGCUGGCGGCAGGCCUAACACAUGCAAGUCGAACGGAAACAUGUCUAGCUUGCUAGAUGAUGUCGAGUGGCGGACGGGUGAGUAAUGCUUGGGAACUUGCCUUUGCGAGGGGGAUAACAGUUGGAAACGACUGCUAAUACCGCAUAAUGUCUUCGGACCAAACGGGGCUUAGGCUCCGGCGCAAAGAGAGGCCCAAGUGAGAUUAGCUAGUUGGUGAGGUAAAGGCUCACCAAGGCAACGAUCUCUAGCUGUUCUGAGAGGAAGAUCAGCCACACUGGGACUGAGACACGGCCCAGACUCCUACGGGAGGCAGCAGUGGGGAAUAUUGCACAAUGGGGGAAACCCUGAUGCAGCCAUGCCGCGUGUGUGAAGAAGGCCUUCGGGUUGUAAAGCACUUUCAGUUGUGAGGAAAAGUUAGUAGUUAAUACCUGCUAGCCGUGACGUUACUGACAGAAGAAGCACCGGCUAACUCCG
RNAcentral lists this ribosomal RNA (478 nucleotides) under uncultured Gammaproteobacteria bacterium. Its description in RNAcentral is "bacterial SSU rRNA". It matches the Rfam family "Bacterial small subunit ribosomal RNA", at positions 30 to 505 of the family's 1533-position model. The record is from RNAcentral. Lineage: Bacteria; Pseudomonadati; Pseudomonadota; Gammaproteobacteria.